RNAcentral lists this ribosomal RNA (253 nucleotides) under uncultured bacterium. RNAcentral describes it as "partial 16S ribosomal RNA". It matches the Rfam family "Bacterial small subunit ribosomal RNA", at positions 524 to 776 of the family's 1533-position model. The record is from RNAcentral.
CACGUAGGGCGCGAGCGUUGUCCGGAAUUAUUGGGCGUAAAGAGCUCGUAGGCGGCCUGUCGCGUCGGAUGUGAAAGCCCGGGGCUUAACCCCGGGUCUGCAUUCGAUACGGGCAGGCUAGAGUGUGGUAGGGGAGAUCGGAAUUCCUGGUGUAGCGGUGAAAUGCGCAGAUAUCAGGAGGAACACCGGUGGCGAAGGCGGAUCUCUGGGCAUUACCUGACGCUGAGGAGCGAAAGUGUGGGGAGCGAACAGG